CAUGCAGUCGAACGAUCCCGCAGGGAGAGUGGCGGAAGGGUGAGUAACACGUGGGAAUCUACCUCCUCGCAGGGAACAACCUCUCGAAAGAGAGGCUAAUACCCAAAAGGGUCAGAAAUGAUCAGAGUCGAAAGGCGUGAGGAGAGGAGCCCGCGGCCCAUCAGCUAGUUGGUGAGGUAAUGGCUUACCAAGGCAACGACGGGUAGGGGAUCUGAGAGGAUGUCCCCCACACUGGAACUGAAACACGGUCCAGACGCCUACGGGUGGCAGCAGUGAGGAAUAUUGGACAAUGGGCGAAAGCCCGAUCCAGCAACGCCGCGUGGAGGAUGAAGGCUUCGGGUCGUAAACUUCUUUAGAGGGGGACGAGAAAGGACGGUAUCCCUAGAAUAACGACGGCAACUACGUG
Molecule: ribosomal RNA, 406 nt
Filed under: uncultured bacterium
Lineage: Bacteria
Description: bacterial SSU rRNA
Rfam family: Bacterial small subunit ribosomal RNA
Source: RNAcentral